GGGGGCACGUUGUUCGGAAUAUUGGGGCGUAAGAGCUCGUAGGCGGUUUGUCGCGUCUGCUGUGAAAGCCCGGGGCUCAACCCCGGGUCUGCAGUGGGUACGGGCAGACUAGAGUGCAGUAGGGGAGACUGGAAUUCCUGGUGUAGCGGUGAAAUGCGCAGAUAUCAGGAGGAACACCGAUGGCGAAGGCAGGUCUCUGGGCUGUUACUGACGCUGAGGAGCGAAAGCAUGGGGAGCGAACAGGAUUAGAUACCCUGGUAGUCCAUGCCGUAAACGUUGGGCACUAGGUGUGGGGGACAUUCCACGUUCUCCGCGCCGUAGCUAACGCAUUAAGUGCCCCGCCUGGGGAGUACGGCCGCAAGGCUAAAACUCAAAGGAAUUGACGGGGGCCCGCACAAGCGGCGGAGCAUGCGGAUUAAUUCGAUGCAACGCGAAGAACCUUACCAAGGCUUGACAUUCACCGGACCGCACUGGAGACAGUGUUUCCCUUCGGGGUCGGUGGACAGGUGGUGCAUGGUUGUCGUCAGCUCGUGUCGUGAGAUGUUGGGUUAAGUCCCGCAACGAGCGCAACCCUCGUUCUAUGUUGCCAGCACGUGAUGGUGGGGACUCAUAGGAGACUGCCGGGGUCAACUCGGAGGAAGGUGGGGAUGACGUCAAAUCAUCAUGCCCCUUAUGUCUUGGGCUUCACGCAUGCUACAAUGGCCGGUACAAAGGGUUGCGAUACUGUGAGGUGGAGCUAAUCCCAAAAAGCCGGUCUCAGUUCGGAUUGAGGUCUGCAACUCGACCUCAUGAAGUCGGAGUCGCUAGUAAUCGCAGAUCAGCAACGCUGCGGUGAAUACGUUCCCGGGCCUUGUACACACCGCCCGUCAAGUCACGAAAGUUGGUAACACCCGAAGCCGGUGGCCUAACCCCUUUGUGGGAGGGAGCCGUCGAAGGUGGGACUGGCGAUUGGGACAAUCU
Molecule: ribosomal RNA, 960 nt
Filed under: Kocuria sediminis
Lineage: Bacteria; Bacillati; Actinomycetota; Actinomycetes; Micrococcales; Micrococcaceae
Description: bacterial SSU rRNA
Rfam family: Bacterial small subunit ribosomal RNA
Source: RNAcentral